AGAACUGUGUAAAAAAGAUAAACUGUCUAGCAUCUGGGAUGCGUCGUCAGUUUCCUAUUUUUACUUUGUUCU
Molecule: non-coding RNA, 72 nt
Filed under: Streptococcus pyogenes MGAS6180
Lineage: Bacteria; Bacillati; Bacillota; Bacilli; Lactobacillales; Streptococcaceae
Source: RNAcentral